RNAcentral lists this ribosomal RNA (581 nucleotides) under Tor sp. CKD01. RNAcentral's name for it is "partial 16S ribosomal RNA". It matches the Rfam family "Bacterial large subunit ribosomal RNA", at positions 1840 to 2619 of the family's 2925-position model. Lineage: Eukaryota; Metazoa; Chordata; Actinopteri; Cypriniformes; Cyprinidae. The record is from RNAcentral. RNAcentral also lists the same sequence under 1 other name.
UCAGUAUAGGAGGUCAGCCUGCCCGGUGACCACAAGUUCAACGGCCGCGGUAUUUUGACCGUGCAAAGGUAGCGCAAUCACUUGUCUUUUAAAUAGAGACCCGUAUGAAUGGCUAAACGAGGGCUUAACUGUCUCCCUUUUCAAGUCAGUGAAAUUGAUCUACCCGUGCAGAAGCGGGUAUAACAAUACAAGACGAGAAGACCCUUUGGAGCUUAAGGUACAAAACUCAACCACGUCAAGCAACUUAAUAAAAAGCAAAAACUUUGUGAAACAUGAGAUUUUACCUUCGGUUGGGGCGACCGCGGAGGAAAACAAAGCCUCCAAGUGGACCGGGAUAAACUCCUAAAACUAAGAGAAACAUCUCUAAGCCACAGAACAUCUGACCAAACAUGAUCCGGCCACCAGGACCGAUCAACGAACCAAGUUACCCUAGGGAUAACAGCGCAAUCCCCUCCCAGAGUCCAUAUCGACGAGGGGGCUUACGACCUCGAUGUUGGAUCAGGACAUCCUAAUGGUGCAGCCGCUAUUAAGGGUUCGUUUGUUCAACGAUUAAAGUCCUACGUGAUCUGAGUUCAGACCGG